This 783-nucleotide ribosomal RNA is filed under the name uncultured Promicromonospora sp. RNAcentral's name for it is "bacterial SSU rRNA". It matches the Rfam family "Bacterial small subunit ribosomal RNA", at positions 505 to 1283 of the family's 1533-position model. The record is from RNAcentral. Lineage: Bacteria; Bacillati; Actinomycetota; Actinomycetes; Micrococcales; Promicromonosporaceae.
GUGCCAGCAGCCGCGGUAAUACGUAGGGCGCAAGCGUUGUCCGGAAUUAUUGGGCGUAAAGAGCCCGUAGGCGGUCUGUCGCGUCUGGUGUGAAAUCCCAUGGCUCAACUGUGGGCUUGCAUCGGGUACGGGCAGACUAGAGUGCUGUAGGGGAGACUGGAAUUCCUGGUGUAGCGGUGGAAUGCGCAGAUAUCAGGAGGAACACCGAUGGCGAAGGCAGGUCUCUGGGCAGUUACUGACGCUGAGGAGCGAAAGCAUGGGGAGCGAACAGGAUUAGAUACCCUGGUAGUCCAUGCCGUAAACGUUGGGCACUAGGUGUGGGGCCAGUUCCACUGGUUCUGUGCCGCAGCUAACGCAUUAAGUGCCCCGCCUGGGGAGUACGGCCGCAAGGCUAAAACUCAAAGGAAUUGACGGGGGCCCGCACAAGCGGCGGAGCAUGCGGAUUAAUUCGAUGCAACGCGAAGAACCUUACCAAGGCUUGACAUGUACGAGAAAGCCCCAGAGAUGGGGUUCUCUUUGGACACUCGUACACAGGUGGUGCAUGGUUGUCGUCAGCUCGUGUCGUGAGAUGUUGGGUUAAGUCCCGCGACGAGCGCAACCCUUAUCCUAUGUUGCCAGCGGGUUAUGCCGGGGACUCAUGGGAGACUGCCGGGGUCAACUCGGAGGAAGGUGGGGAUGACGUCAAAUCAUCAUGCCCCCUUAUGUCUUGGGCUUCACGCAUGCUACAAUGGCCGGUACAGAGGGCUGCGAUACCGUGAGGUGGAGCGAAAUCCCCAAAAAAGC